GCGUAGGUAACCUGCCUGGUAGCGGGGGAGUAACUAUUGGAAACGAUAGCUAAUACCGCAUAAGAGUAGAUGUCGCAUGACAUUUGCUUAAAAGGUGCAAUUGCAUCACUACCAGAUGGACCUGCGUUGUAUUAGCUAGUUGGUGGGGUAACGGCUCACCAAGGCGACGAUACAUAGCCGACCUGAGAGGGUGAUCGGCCACACUGGGACUGAGACACGGCCCAGACUCCUACGGGAGGCAGCAUG
Molecule: ribosomal RNA, 246 nt
Filed under: uncultured bacterium
Lineage: Bacteria
Description: partial 16S ribosomal RNA
Rfam family: Bacterial small subunit ribosomal RNA
Source: RNAcentral